Molecule: ribosomal RNA, 880 nt
Filed under: uncultured bacterium
Lineage: Bacteria
Description: bacterial SSU rRNA
Rfam family: Bacterial small subunit ribosomal RNA
Source: RNAcentral
GUUUGAUCAUGGCUCAGAAUGAACGCUGGCGGCGUGCGUAACACAUGCAAGUCGAACGAGAAAUUCCGGGCUUGCUCGGGAGAGUAAAGUGGCGAACGGGUGAGUAACGCGUGGGUAACCUGCCCCUGAAUCCGGAAUAACUUCGCGAAAGCGAGGCUAAUACCGGAUAUUGUCCCAAGGACCUCGGUUCUUGUGAUGAAAGAUGACCUCUUCACGAAAGUUGUCGUUCAGGGAGGGGCCCGCGUACCAUUAGCUAGUUGGUAGGGUAAUGGCCUACCAAGGCGAUGAUGGUUAGCUGGUCUGAGAGGAUGACCAGCCACACUGGCACUGAAACACGGGCCAGACUCCUACGGGAGGCAGCAGUGAGGAAUUUUGCGCAAUAGGGGAAACCCUGACGCAGCAACGCCGCGUGAGUGAAGAAGGCCCUCGGGUCGUAAAGCUCUGUCAAGUGGGAAAAAAGCUUGUUGGUAAAUAGCCAGCAAGACUGAUGGUACCAUUGAAGGAAGCACCGGCUAACUCCGUGCCAGCAGCCGCGGUAAUACGGAGGGUGCAAGCGUUGUUCGGAAUUACUGGGCGUAAAGGGCGUGUAGGCGGUGUGGUAAGUCAGAUGUGAAAGCCCUGGGCUUAACCCAGGAAGUGCAUUUGAAACUGCCAUGCUUGAGUAUGGGAGAGGAGAGUGGAAUUCCCAGUGUAGAGGUGAAAUUCGUAGAUAUUGGGAGGAACACCCGUGGCGAAGGCGACUCUCUGGACCAAUACUGACGCUGAGGCGCGAAAGCGUGGGGAGCAAACAGGAUUAGAUACCCUGGUAGUCCACGCUGUAAACGAUGAGCACUAGGUGUAGCGGGUAUUGACCCCUGCUGUGCCGUAGCUAACGCAUUAA